CGUGGGGGAUGACGGCCUUCGGGUUGUAAACCUCUUUCAGCAGGGACGAAGCGGAAGUGACGGUACCUGCAGAAGAAGCACCGGCCAACUACGUGCCAGCAGCCGCGGUAAUACGUAGGGUGCAAGCGUUGUCCGGAAUUAUUGGGCGUAAAGAGCUCGUAGGCGGUUUGUUGCGUCGGCUGUGAAAACCUGAGGCUCAACCUCAGGCCUGCAGUCGAUACGAGCAGACUAGAGUGUUGCAGGGGAGACUGGAAUUCCUGGUGUAGCGGUGAAAUGCGCAGAUAUCAGGAGGAACACCGGUGGCGAAGGCGGGUCUCUGGGCAACAACUGACGCUGAGGAGCGAAAGCGUGGGGAGCGAACAGGAUUAGAUACCCUGGUAGUCCACGCCGUAAACGUUGGGCGCUAGGUGUGGGGCUCAUUCCACGAGUUCCGUGCCGCAGCUAACGCAUUAAGCGCCCCGCCUGGGGAGUACGGCCGCAAGGCUAAAACUCAAAGGAAUUGACGGGGGCCCGCACAAGCGGCGGAGCAUGUUGCUUAAUUCGAUGCAACGCGAAGAACCUUACCUAGGCUUGACAUGCACGGAAAUCCUCCAGAGAUGGUGGGUCCGCAAGGGUCGUGCACAGGUGGUGCAUGGUUGUCGUCAGCUCGUGUCGUGAGAUGUUGGGUUAAGUCCCGCAACGAGCGCAACCCUCGUUCUAUGUUGCCAGCACGUCAUGGUGGGGACUCAUAGGAGACUGCCGGGGUCAACUCGGAGGAAGGUGGGGAUGACGUCAAAUCAUCAUGCCCCUUAUGUCUAGGGCUGCAAACAUGCUACAAUGGCCGGUACAAAGGGCUGCGAUACCGCGAGGUGGAGCGAAUCCCAAAAAGCCGGUCUCAGUUCGGAUUGGGGUCUGCAACUCGACCCCAUGAAGUUGGAGUCGCUAGUAAUCGCAGAUCAGCAACGCUGCGGUGAAUACGUUCCCGGGCCUUGUACACACCGCCCGUCACGUCACGAAAGUCGGUAACGCCCGAAGCCGGUGGCCCAACCCUUGUGGAGGGAGCCGUCGAAGGCGGGAUCGGCGAUUGGGACG
This 1071-nucleotide ribosomal RNA is filed under the name uncultured bacterium. RNAcentral describes it as "bacterial SSU rRNA". It matches the Rfam family "Bacterial small subunit ribosomal RNA", at positions 400 to 1482 of the family's 1533-position model. The record is from RNAcentral.